UUUAACAAAUAAAUAGUUUAACACAGUGUCUAAUAAAUACUGAUGGACUAAGUAAAUGCUUUUCAGAUUUCUGGAUUACCUUCAUGCUACAAGUAAGAAAACAGAUGAUCGUGAUGACCACUUGCUACAGACUUGUGACUAUCAAAUGGCAAGGAACGGAGAGGCCAGGAGGCGGGAUGACUUGUUGCCAGCGCCAGGAUGUUCACCUAGUUCAGUCUUGUCAACAUCACGCACCCAGGUUGGUGUCAGGACGUGCACGUAUUUCUCAGUUCCAUAAUACACGUAAGAA
RNAcentral lists this long non-coding RNA (289 nucleotides) under Monodelphis domestica (gray short-tailed opossum). Its description in RNAcentral is "lncRNA (ENSMODG00000027920.2)". The record is from RNAcentral. Lineage: Eukaryota; Metazoa; Chordata; Mammalia; Didelphimorphia; Didelphidae.